Molecule: long non-coding RNA, 1232 nt
Filed under: Varroa destructor (honeybee mite)
Lineage: Eukaryota; Metazoa; Arthropoda; Arachnida; Mesostigmata; Varroidae
Description: uncharacterized LOC111253352, transcript variant X1
Source: RNAcentral
CCUGUAAGCGACGAUGUUGUCUAUUUGAGUCACUUAGCAAUAACGAGUGGUGCAUAGAAAUGUAUUUAGCUAAACGUUAAAGUAAUGGGGAUCGUAUACUUUUAUAGAGAUCGAAACCAAAACACAGAUGCAAAUCCAAGUCGGGUCAAGUGUUAACUUAUCGGCUAUUCGAAUAGUCCAGUGGACAGUCCGAUGAGCAGUGGCGUGUUGUGGUAUAUGCUACGCUUGAGUAAGGCCACAGAAAAAGCAAAGCAAACGGACAAAUCAGCAGUAAGCCGAAGUAGACAAGAGGAUCCCUCGUUAGUUUCUUGCAUAAGAGUUUCCUUGCUAACUCUUGUUCGAAGUCCAUCGAUCAGUCGAGCCAAGUAAGCACCCCUGCUUGGCUCUGUCUCAAAAUUCAGCUUAUUACACCAGCAGCCCGACCAAACUCAGCAUCGUGAAAUCGCGUGGAACAAUUCAGCCGCGAAUGCAGGCACUCGCAUCUAAUGGUCUUGUGGGCGAAACGAGAAGGACCGAAAAAUUUAAAGGGGCUGAGCGCCGGAGAAGGAGGUAGCAAAAGAGAUUUGUAGAAGAAAUCAACGAGCAGAAGUCGUCUGCAAGUUUGCUUUUGCGACUCGACAAAUCGUAAAAUUUAUGGCAACUUUUUUCCAAGUCCCCACGACAAAAUGGGUGGGGGUGCGAGUUGUAGCUGUAAGGUUCAUAGUGGCACAAGGAUAAGCCCGCCCCGUAUAACGCGGAUCGUCUCGAGCAAAGCUUACCAAAGACCUCUCACGUGACUUCGGCUUCUACAAGGCCAUGGCGAAGACAACCGCUGCGGCACGAAAACGGCUUAUGGCAUAUACAAAUCUUCGUGGGUAGAACUCACCAUAGGUGAAUGCCAAUUCACUCGUGCGGGGAAAUUUUGCAAUUCAGUUCAAUAAGUCCACGUCUAUGCGUCACAAACAACAUACUCGGCUUCCUCGGGCAUGGUGCAGGAACAGUGACCUUCGCGUAUAUGAUAUUGAUUUUCUUCCACGUUUAGCCGACGUCGAAAAGCGGUCUCUGGAGAUGUCUAUUGACUAAGACUUCGCAUUACUUCAAAUUAUACCCUUUUCAAAAACGCCACUCGGUAUUUAAAAAAAUGACAUGUAAACAUCUGCCUCUCUGCAAGGGGGCUGAUAUGGGAUACGUGGUACAAUUCUAUACAUUUGUGCGGCGGGCCGCACGCUGAACGUAAGUGGAAUACAAAAAUA